CCGGUACCUUGGGAAUAAGCAUCGGCUAACUCCGUGCCAGCAGCCGCGGUAAUACGGAGGAUGCAAGCGUUAUCCGGAUUCAGUUGGGUUUAAAGGGUGCGUAGGCGGAUUAAUAAGUCAGUGGUGAAAUCUUGCGGCUCAACCGUAACAUUGCCAUUGAUACUGUUAGUCUUGAAUGCAGUUGAGGUAGGCGGAAUGUGUAAUGUAGCGGUGAAAUGCUUAGAUAUUACACAGAACACCGAUUGCGAAGGCAGCUUGCUAAACUGUGAUUGACGCUGAUGCACGAAAGCGUGGGGAUCAAACAGGAUUAGAUACCCUGGUAGUCCACGCUGUAAACGAUGAUUACUCGUUGUUUGCGAUAUAUUGCAAGCGACUGAGCGAAAGCAUUAAGUAAUCCACCUGGGGAGUACGUUCGCAAGAAUGAAACUCAAAGGAAUUGACGGGGGCCCGCACAAGCG
Molecule: ribosomal RNA, 458 nt
Filed under: uncultured bacterium
Lineage: Bacteria
Description: bacterial SSU rRNA
Rfam family: Bacterial small subunit ribosomal RNA
Source: RNAcentral